This 1288-nucleotide ribosomal RNA is filed under the name Salmonella enterica subsp. enterica serovar Kentucky. Its description in RNAcentral is "partial 23S ribosomal RNA". It matches the Rfam family "Bacterial large subunit ribosomal RNA", at positions 566 to 1773 of the family's 2925-position model. The record is from RNAcentral. Lineage: Bacteria; Pseudomonadati; Pseudomonadota; Gammaproteobacteria; Enterobacterales; Enterobacteriaceae.
AAAGCAUUCUCUGGUGUUGAAGGCCCUGCAAAGCAGCAUCGCGGUGGCGGAGCGUCGUUUGCGACGCCCAACACACAAAACAAGCGGUGAGUGCUUUGGGGUGGGGUGACUGCGUACCUUUUGUAUAAUGGGUCAGCGACUUAUAUUCUGUAGCAAGGUUAACCGUAUAGGGGAGCCGAAGGGAAACCGAGUCUUAACUGGGCGUUAAGUUGCAGGGUAUAGACCCGAAACCCGGUGAUCUAGCCAUGGGCAGGUUGAAGGUUGGGUAACACUAACUGGAGGACCGAACCGACUAAUGUUGAAAAAUUAGCGGAUGACUUGUGGCUGGGGGUGAAAGGCCAAUCAAACCGGGAGAUAGCUGGUUCUCCCCGAAAGCUAUUUAGGUAGCGCCUCGUGAACUCAUCUUCGGGGGUAGAGCACUGUUUCGGCUAGGGGGUCAUCCCGACUUACCAACCCGAUGCAAACUGCGAAUACCGAAGAAUGUUAUCACGGGAGACACACGGCGGGUGCUAACGUCCGUCGUGAAGAGGGAAACAACCCAGACCGCCAGCUAAGGUCCCAAAGUCACAGUUAAGUGGGAAACGAUGUGGGAAGGCUCAGACAGCCAGGAUGUUGGCUUAGAAGCAGCCAUCAUUUAAAGAAAGCGUAAUAGCUCACUGGUCGAGUCGGCCUGCGCGGAAGAUGUAACGGGGCUAAACUGUGCACCGAAGCUGCGGCAGCGACGCUUAUGCGUUGUUGGGUAGGGGAGCGUUCUGUAAGCCUGCGAAGGUGUCCUGUGAGGGAUGCUGGAGGUAUCAGAAGUGCGAAUGCUGACAUAAGUAACGAUAAUGCGGGUGAAAAGCCCGCUCGCCGGAAGACCAAGGGUUCCUGUCCAACGUUAAUCGGGGCAGGGUGAGUCGACCCCUAAGGCGAGGCCGAAAGGCGUAGUCGAUGGGAAACGGGUUAAUAUUCCCGUACUUGGUGUUACUGCGAAGGGGGGACGGAGAAGGCUAUGUUGGCCGGGCGACGGUUGUCCCGGUUUAAGCGUGUAGGCUGGUUUUCCAGGCAAAUCCGGAAAAUCAAGGCUGAGGCGUGAUGACGAGGCACUACGGUGCUGAAGCAACAAAUGCCCUGCUUCCAGGAAAAGCCUCUAAGCAUCAGGUAACAUCAAAUCGUACCCCAAACCGACACAGGUGGUCAGGUAGAGAAUACCAAGGCGCUUGAGAGAACUCGGGUGAAGGAACUAGGCAAAAUGGUGCCGUAACUUCGGGAGAAGGCACGCUGACACGUAGGUGAAGUGAUUUACUCA